RNAcentral lists this ribosomal RNA (492 nucleotides) under uncultured bacterium. RNAcentral's name for it is "partial 16S ribosomal RNA". It matches the Rfam family "Bacterial small subunit ribosomal RNA", at positions 29 to 507 of the family's 1533-position model. The record is from RNAcentral.
AGUGAACGCUGGCGGUAUGCCUAAUACAUGCAAGUCGAGCGGCAGCACAGUAAGAUCUUGCUCUUACGGGUGGCGAGUGGCGGGCGGGUGAGAAAUACAUCAGAAUCUACUUUUUCUGGGGGAAUAACGGGGGGAAGGUUAUGCUAAUACCGCAUAUGUCCUACCGGUUAAAGCAGGGGUGCUUCGCACCUUUCGCGAUUGAAUGAGCUGAUGUCGGAUUAGCUAGUUGGCUAGGUAAAGGCCCACCAAGGCAACGAUACGUAGCUGGCCUGAGAGGAUGAUCAGCCACACUGGAACUGAGACACGGUCCAGACUCCUACGGGAGGCAGCAGUGGGGAAUCUUGGACAAUGGGCGAAAGCCUGAUCCAGCCAUACCGCGUGGGUGAUGAAGGUCUUCGGGUUGUAAAACCCUGUUGUUAGGAAAGAAAAGAAGCAGAUUAAUACCUGCACGUUCUGACGGUACCCAAAGAAUAAGCACCGGCUAACUUCGUG